Molecule: ribosomal RNA, 491 nt
Filed under: uncultured Armatimonadota bacterium
Lineage: Bacteria; Bacillati; Armatimonadota
Description: bacterial SSU rRNA
Rfam family: Bacterial small subunit ribosomal RNA
Source: RNAcentral
UGGAGCAUGUGGAUUAAUUCGUCACUAACCGAAGAACCUUACCCAGGUUUGACAUCGAGGGUAAGACCAUGAAAGUGAUCCCUCUAGCAAUAGACCCGAAGACAGGUGUUGCAUGGCUGUCGUCAGCUCGUGUCGUGAGAUGUUGGGUUAAGUCCCGCAACGAGCGCAACCCUCACCGUAUGUUGCCAGCGUAAAGUCGGGAACUCUUACGGAACUGCCCGUGCAAGCGGGAGGAAGGUGGGGAUGACGUCAAGUCGGCAUGGCCCUUACACCUGGGGCUUCACACAUGCUACAAUGGGCGUCAACAGAGGGGUGCAAGGCCGCGAGGUCAAGCAAAUCCCAAAAAUACGUCCUCAGUUCGGAUUGCAGGCUGCAACUCGCCUGCAUGAAGCUGGAAUCGCUAGUAACCGCAGGUCAGCUAUACUGCGGUGAAUACGUUCCCGGGGUUUGUACACACCGCCCGUCAAGUCACCUGAAUUGUCUGCACCCGA